Molecule: ribosomal RNA, 254 nt
Filed under: uncultured bacterium
Lineage: Bacteria
Description: partial 16S ribosomal RNA
Rfam family: Bacterial small subunit ribosomal RNA
Source: RNAcentral
UACGUAGGGUGCAGGCGUUAAUCGGAAUUACUGGGCGUAAAGCGUGCGCAGGCGCCUCUUAAGUCAGAUGUGAAAUCCCCGGGCUUAACCUGGGACUGCGUUUGAAACUGGGAGGCUUGAGUGUGGAAGAGGGGGGGUGGAAUUCCAGGUGUAGCAGUGAAAUGCGUAGAGAUCUGGAGGAACACCGAUGGCGAAGGCAGCCCCCCUGGGCUAACACUGACGCUCAUGCACGAAAGCGUGGGGAGCAAACAGGG